GCCGGGCAUGGUGGCGCACACCUGUAAUUCCAGCUACUGGGAGGCUGAGGUGGGAGGAUCACUUGAGCCCAGGAGGCAGAGUUUAGCUGAGCUGGGAUCAUGCCACUGUACUCCAGCCUGGGCAACAGAGUGAGACCCUGCCUCAA
Homo sapiens (human) is the source of this 146-nucleotide non-coding RNA. It matches the Rfam family "Metazoan signal recognition particle RNA". From Rfam's summary of the family: The signal recognition particle (SRP) is a universally conserved ribonucleoprotein. The record is from Rfam. NCBI's taxonomy places the organism in Eukaryota, Metazoa, Chordata, Mammalia, Primates, Hominidae.